UACGUAGGGUGCAAGCGUUGUCCGGAAUUAUUGGGCGUAAAGAGCGUGUAGGCGGCCCGAUUAGUCCGCUGUGAAAGUUCAGGGCUCAACCCUGGAAUGCCGGUGGAUACUGCCGUGGCUAGAGUCCGGUAGAGGAGCGUAGAAUUCCUGGUGUAGCGGUGAAAUGCGCAGAUAUCAGGAGUAAUACCAGCGGCGAAGGCGGCGCUCUGGGCCGGUACUGACGCUGAGGAGCGAAAGCGUGGGGAGCAAACAGG
Molecule: ribosomal RNA, 254 nt
Filed under: uncultured bacterium
Lineage: Bacteria
Description: partial 16S ribosomal RNA
Rfam family: Bacterial small subunit ribosomal RNA
Source: RNAcentral